RNAcentral lists this small nucleolar RNA (104 nucleotides) under Arabidopsis thaliana (thale cress). RNAcentral describes it as "Plant small nucleolar RNA R71". It matches the Rfam family "Plant small nucleolar RNA R71". Rfam says of the family: R71 is a member of the C/D box family of snoRNAs containing the C (UGAUGA) and D (CUGA) box motifs. Multiple nearly identical copies of this snoRNA have been identified in Arabidopsis, and it is thought to function as a 2'-O-ribose methylation guide for 18S ribosomal RNA. The record is from Rfam by way of RNAcentral. Lineage: Eukaryota; Viridiplantae; Streptophyta; Magnoliopsida; Brassicales; Brassicaceae.
AAGCCAUGAUGAGGGCAUGAGCAGAGAGGCUUGAAACGCUCCCAUGCUUCACAGAAGCUUUCACCAGUCUUCUGUGAGAAACCAUAAAUCUCAUUUUUGAGUCU